This 482-nucleotide ribosomal RNA is filed under the name uncultured bacterium. RNAcentral describes it as "partial 16S ribosomal RNA". It matches the Rfam family "Bacterial small subunit ribosomal RNA", at positions 30 to 507 of the family's 1533-position model. The record is from RNAcentral.
AUUGAACGCUGGCGGCAUGCUUUACACAUGCAAGUCGAACGGUAACAGGCCGCAAGGUGCUGACGAGUGGCGGACGGGUGAGUAAUGCAUCGGAACGUGCCCAGUCGUGGGGGAUAACUACUCGAAAGAGUAGCUAAUACCUCAUACGAUCUAUGGAUGACAGCGGGGGACCGUAAGGCCUCGCGCGAUUGGAGCGGCCGAUGUCAGAUUAGGUAGUUGUUGGGGUAAAGGCCCACCAAGCCAACGAUCUGUAGCUGGUCUGAGAGGACGACGAGCCACACUGGGACUGAGACACGGCCAAGACUCCUACGGGAGGCCGCAGUGGGGAAUUUUGGACAAUGGGCGCAAGCCUGAUCCAGCAAUGCCGCGUGCAGGAAGAAGGCCUUCGGGUUGUAAACUGCUUUUGUACGGAACGAAACGGCUCUGGUUAAUACCCGGGGCUAAUGACGGUACCGUAAGAAUAAGCACCGGCUAACUACGUG